Salvelinus sp. IW2-2015 is the source of this 1802-nucleotide long non-coding RNA. RefSeq lists it as uncharacterized. The record is from RefSeq and is a predicted model, not a curated record. Lineage: Eukaryota; Metazoa; Chordata; Actinopteri; Salmoniformes; Salmonidae.
ACACACAAGCCUCCUGCACAAUUACCUUUUAUUUGCAUGACAAACAUUUACAUUAUUAAUGACACCAGAAAUGAAGGUAACAAUAUAUGUUUUUCCUGCUGAGCAACCUACCCAUUUCGCAAUGCCUUUUGCUUUUGCSCAUUGACGUUGUAUGACCAAUAUUCUCCACUUUACAUUUAAACUUUAGACAAUAAAAUCAUAUGCAGAAUGUAUUKGUUUUACUGUCACACCAUUAGUUUWACUGUCACAACACCACACAUGUAYGGGAUAUUUGAAGUAGCCAGUUGUUACUGGAGAGAGCGAGGGAGAAGGAGCCAGUCAGAGCGCACMACGAGACGUGGCCGGUAGCAGUCAGUCAACGAGGGUAAUAUCCCGGUGCGAGCCAGCGCACGGGCAUACAGAGCGAGAGGAGGGRACCCGUCCCGGACACUUUACAGUAGGCUGGCUACCUCCUGUGUUACAAAUUCAUAUARGAAGAAAAGCAAUCAGGUGGUCCUGAAUGGAAAUMUGCAGAAUUUCUUUACAACUACAAAAAGGCGAAUAAAACGGUUCCAUGACUUUAUGGAGACAUUUUCAUUUGUAAUUCYCGAGACAUUUCUUCCCAUUCUUUCCAAGAAGUGACGCAACAUCAACACUCCCAGUAAACUGGACACAGGAAUAUUUGUUGUGGUACAGAGCUACACCAGAGCACCCAGACAGACCAAGUCUCAAGGAAAAGGUUGGCAAGGACACAGGAGAGGCGUCAUGGGAGGAACAAAACGGGAUAAGAAACCAGACGGGAUAAGAAACCAGACGGGAUAAGAAACCAGACGGGAUAAGAAACCAGACGACUGACUGAGCGAAAGAAGAAAACGUCAGAGAAAGAAGGAAAGAGAGAAGGAUUGUGCGUUCUCUACUUUCUCAGAAGUGCAGCCCCUAAAUUCCUGUUACUAUGCCUGAGAGAGGGAGGGCAGCAGACCAGUCAAAAUGAACCCCUACGUCACCUCUCACUUUAGGAGGGAUCUCUUUCCCCACUUCCACUUGUUGUAGAGGCUUCUCUUCACCCCUCUCUUACUGUUUGUGUGACAUGACAACACCUGGCUCUGUGUAAACUUUGGACAACAGGUAACACCUGUCUCUUGUGUAAACCUUGGACAACAGGUAACACCUGUCUUUGUGUAAACCUAGGACAGAAGGAACAUCUGUCUCUGUGUGAACCUAGGACAGAAGAUAACAUCUGUCUCUGUGUAAACCUAGGACAGUAGGUAACAUCUGUCUCUGUGUGAACCUAGGACACCAGGUAACGACUGUUGCCUUGGUAUUCUCCUGUGUUGUGCCUUUGUUGCUCCUAGUCAGGGUGUUACACUGUAAACUGUCCUCGGUGAUCUGGUCAAGGUGUUACACUGUAAACUGUCCUCAGGGAGCUGGUGAAGGGUUGAACUGUUCCUCAGGCAACCUAGUAACAUGUUUAGCUUGUUCACUGGGGGUCAAAGACUUGCCAGUGUUCGAAACCACAGUUCACUGGAAAUGUGUACGGAAGGUAAAGUCUAAUAUCGCAACCAAACAUUUUUUGUGUCAUUUGGAUUGCCCUGAAUCAAACCUUUUGAGUUUUCUUUGUUUUUAUCCCUAAGGGAUUUGGCAUGCAACAAACAAAAAAAUCUCUCUUCCCAAAAUAUUACCUUUGUUUGCCUCAGUGGGUCGUUGUUUUUACCCAGUUUUCCUUGCACGUCCUCUGCCCAUUAUUGCCACAUUUUUCAAGGAAUUAGACUGGAAGCUUUUCUGAAUGGAUAACAUGUGUGUUCUCUGUAAGCAGGGGUGUUGAG